GGGUUGUGAGGUUAAGCGACUAAGCGUACACGGUGGAUGCCCUGGCAGUCAGAGGCGAUGAAGGACGUGCUAAUCUGCGAAAAGCGUCGGUAAGGUGAUAUGAACCGUUAUAACCGGCGAUGUCCGAAUGGGGAAACCCAGUGCAAUUCGUUGCACUAUCGUUAACUGAAUACAUAGGUUAACGAGGCGAACCGGGGAACUGAAACAUCUAAGUACCCCGAGGAAAAGAAAUCAACCGAGAUUCCCCAGUAGCGGCGAGCGAACGGGGAGCAGCCCAGAGUCUGAAUCAGCUUGUGUGUUAGUGGAACGGUCUGGAAAGUCCGACGGUACAGGGUGAUAGUCCCGUACACCAAAAUGCACAGGCUGUGAACUCGAAGAGUAGGGCGGGACACGUGGUAUCCUGUCUGAAUAUGGGGGACCAUCCUCCAAGGCUAAAUACUCCUGACUGACCGAUAGUGAACCAGUACCGUGAGGGAAAGGCGAAAAGAACCCCGGCGAGGGGAGUGAAAAAGAACCUGAAACCGUGUACGUACAAGCAGUGGGAGCACCUUCGGGUGUGACUGCGUACCUUUUGUAUAAUGGGUCAGCGACUUAUAUUCUGUAGCAAGGUUAACCGUAUAGGGGAGCCGCAGGGAAACCGAGUCUUAACUGGGCGUUAAGUUGCAGGGUAUAGACCCGAAACCCGGUGAUCUAGCCAUGGGCAGGUUGAAGGUUGGGUAACACUAACUGGAGGACCGAACCGACUAAUGUUGAAAAAUUAGCGGAUGACUUGUGGCUGGGGGUGAAAGGCCAAUCAAACCGGGAGAUAGCUGGUUCUCCCCGAAAGCUAUUUAGGUAGCGCCUCGUGAACUCAUCUUCGGGGUAGAGCACUGUUUCGGCUAGGGGGUCAUCCCGACUUACCAACCCGAUGCAAACUACGAAUACCGAAGAAUGUUAUCACGGGAGACACACGGCGGGUGCUAACGUCCGUCGUGAAGAGGGAAACAACCCAGACCGCCAGCUAAGGUCCCAAAGUCAUGGUUAAGUGGGAAACGAUGUGGGAAGGCACAGACAGCCGGAUGUUGGCUUAGAAGCAGCCAUCAUUUAAAGAAAGCGUAAUAGCUCACUGGUCGAGUCGGCCUGCGCGGAAGAUGUAACGGGGCUAAACCAUGCACCGAAGCUGCGGCAGCGACACUAUGUGUUGUUGGGUAGGGGAGCGUUCUGUAAGCCUGCGAAGGUGUGCUGUGAGGCAUGCUGGAGGUAUCAGAAGUGCGAAUGCUGACAUAAGUAACGAUAAAGCGGGUGAAAAGCCCGCUCGCCGGAAGACCAAGGGUUCCUGUCCAACGUUAAUCGGGGCAGGGUGAGUCGACCCCUAAGGCGAGGCCGAAAGGCGUAGUCGAUGGGAAACAGGUUAAUAUUCCUGUACUUGGUGUUACUGCGAAGGGGGACGGAGAAGGCUAUGUUAGCCGGGCGACGGUUGUCCCGGUUUAAGCAUGUAGGCUGAUUGUCCAGGCAAAUCCGGAUAAUCAAGGCUGAGGUGUGAUGACGAGGCACUACGGUGCUGAAGUAACAAAUGCCCUGCUUCCGGAAAAGCCUCUAAGCAUCAGGUAACAUCAAAUCGUACCCCAAACCGACACAGGUGGUCAGGUAGAGAAUACCAAGGCGCUUGAGAGAACUCGGGUGAAGGAACUAGGCAAAAUGGUGCCGUAACUUCGGGAGAAGGCACGCUGGUGUGUAGGUGAAGUCCCUGCGGAUGGAGCUGAGACCAGUCGAAGAUACCAGCUGGCUGCAACUGUUUAUUAAAAACACAGCACUGUGCAAACACGAAAGUGGACGUAUACGGUGUGACGCCUGCCCGGUGCCGGAAGGUUAAUUGAUGGGGUUAUCCGUAAGGAGAAGCUCUUGAUCGAAGCCCCGGUAAACGGCGGCCGUAACUAUAACGGUCCUAAGGUAGCGAAAUUCCUUGUCGGGUAAGUUCCGACCUGCACGAAUGGCGUAAUGAUGGCCAGGGCUGUCUCCACCCGAGACUCAGUGAAAUUGAACUCGCUGUGAAGAUGCAGUGUACCCGCGGCAAGACGGAAAGACCCCGUGAACCUUUACUAUAGCUUGACACUGAACAUUGAGCCUUGAUGUGUAGGAUAGGUGGGAGGCUUUGAAGCGUGGACGCCAGUCUGCGUGGAGCCAACCUUGAAAUACCACCCUUUAAUGUUUGAUGUUCUAACGUUGGCCCCUGACCGGGGUUGCGGACAGUGUCUGGUGGGUAGUUUGACUGGGGCGGUCUCCUCCCAAAGCGUAACGGAGGAGCACGAAGGUUAGCUAAUCCUGGUCGGACAUCAGGAGGUUAGUGCAAUGGCAUAAGCUAGCUUGACUGCGAGCGUGACGGCGCGAGCAGGUGCGAAAGCAGGUCAUAGUGAUCCGGUGGUUCUGAAUGGAAGGGCCAUCGCUCAACGGAUAAAAGGUACUCCGGGGAUAACAGGCUGAUACCGCCCAAGAGUUCAUAUCGACGGCGGUGUUUGGCACCUCGAUGUCGGCUCAUCACAUCCUGGGGCUGAAGUAGGUCCCAAGGGUAUGGCUGUUCGCCAUUUAAAGUGGUACGCGAGCUGGGUUUAGAACGUCGUGAGACAGUUCGGUCCCUAUCUGCCGUGGGCGCUGGAGAAUUGAGGGGGCUGCUCCUAGUACGAGAGGACCGGAGUGGACGCAUCACUGGUGUUCGGGUUGUCAUGCCAAUGGCACUGCCCGGUAGCUAAAUGCGGAAGAGAUAAGUGCUGAAAGCAUCUAAGCACGAAACUUGCCCCGAGAUGAGUUCUCCCUGAGACUUUAAGUCUCCUGAAGGAACGUUGAAGACGACGACGUUGAUAGGCCGGGUGUGUAAGCGCAGCGAUGCGUUGAGCUAACCGGUACUAAUGAACCGUGAGGCUUAACCUUACAACGCCGAAG
This 2916-nucleotide ribosomal RNA is filed under the name Klebsiella pneumoniae. RNAcentral's name for it is "23S ribosomal RNA". It matches the Rfam family "Bacterial large subunit ribosomal RNA". The record is from RNAcentral. Lineage: Bacteria; Pseudomonadati; Pseudomonadota; Gammaproteobacteria; Enterobacterales; Enterobacteriaceae.